This 441-nucleotide ribosomal RNA is filed under the name uncultured bacterium. RNAcentral's name for it is "bacterial SSU rRNA". It matches the Rfam family "Bacterial small subunit ribosomal RNA", at positions 29 to 521 of the family's 1533-position model. The record is from RNAcentral.
AGCGAACGCUGGCGGCAGGCUUAACACAUGCAAGUCGAACGGAUCCUUCGGGAUUAGUGGCGGACGGGUGAGUAACACGUGGGAACGUGCCUUUUGGUUCGGAACAACACAGGGAAACUUGUGCUAAUACCGGAUGUGCCCUUCGGGGAAGAUUUAUCGCCAUUAGAGCGGCCCGCGUCUGAUUAGCUAGUUGGUGAGGUAAAGGCUCACCAAGGCUACGAUCAGUAGCUGGUCNGAGAGGAUGAUCAGCCACACUGGGACUGAGACACGGCCCAGACUCCUACGGGAGGCAGCAGUGGGGAAUCUUGCGCAAUGGGGGAACCCUGACGCAGCCAUGCCGCGUGAAUGAUGAAGGUCUUAGAUUGUAAAUUACUUUCAGCGGGACGAUAAUGACGGUACCCGCAGAAGAAGCUCCGCUAACUUCGUGCCAGCAGCCGCGGU